AGGACGAACGCUGGCGGCGUGCCUAACACAUGCAAGUCGAGCGGGGACAUACGACGGAUCGGAAGUUUCGGAUGGAAGUGAAGAUGUAUGUUCUAGGCGGCGGACGGGUGAGUAACGCGUGAGCAACCUGUCCUUCACAGGGGGAUAACACAGCGAAAGUUGUACUAAUACCGCAUAAGACCACGGCGGGGCAUCCCGAAGGGGUCAAAGGAGCAAUCCGGUGAAGGGUGGGCUCGCGUCCGAUUAGAUAGUUGGUGAGGUAACGGCCCACCAAGUCGACGAUCGGUAGCCGACCUGAGAGGGUGAUCGGCCACAUUGGGACUGAGACACGGCCCAAACUCCUACGGGAGGCAGCAGUGGGGAAUAUUGGGCAAUGGGGGGAACCCUGAACCCCCAGCAACGCCGCGUGAGGGAAGAAGGUUUUCGGAUCGUAAACCUCUGUCCUAUGUGAAGAGGAAGAGACGGUAGCAUAGGAGGAAGCCCCGGCUAACUACGUGCCAGCCGCAGC
This 508-nucleotide ribosomal RNA is filed under the name uncultured bacterium. RNAcentral's name for it is "bacterial SSU rRNA". It matches the Rfam family "Bacterial small subunit ribosomal RNA", at positions 26 to 518 of the family's 1533-position model. The record is from RNAcentral.